UACAGAGGUCUCAAGCGUUGUUCGGAUUCAUUGGGCGUAAAGGGUGCGUAGGUGGCGCCGUAAGUCGGGUGUGAAAUUUCGGAGCUUAACUCCGAAACUGCAUUCGAUACUGCGGUGCUUGAGGACUGGAGAGGAGACUGGAAUUCAUGGUGUAGCAGUGAAAUGCGUAGAGAUCAUGAGGAAGACCAGUGGCGAAGGCGGGUCUCUGGGCCGUAACUGACGCUGAGGAGCGAAAGCGUGGGGAGCAAACAGG
RNAcentral lists this ribosomal RNA (253 nucleotides) under uncultured bacterium. Its description in RNAcentral is "partial 16S ribosomal RNA". It matches the Rfam family "Bacterial small subunit ribosomal RNA", at positions 524 to 776 of the family's 1533-position model. The record is from RNAcentral.